GUACUUCCAUCUCCACAACCAAAAAUCCUCUUCCACAAAAACAGAAAUCAUAUCACCUUCUUCGUAAUCCCCUUCGUUUUUUCUUCAUUCAAAAUUCCAAACCUUAAAUUUCAUUUUUUAAAAAUGGCAGCCACUUCUCGAUUGGCCAGGUUUAUCAGCGAAGCUUGCCCUCCUCAAUUCGUCUCCGUCAUGAGGCGAAGAAGCCCCAAAGUUUUAGACACCAUUAACGAAGAAGACCAAAGAGAAUCCCUAGCUUCCUCUUCCUCCUUCAAGAUCGACAAAUUCUCUGUUUCUUCCCCGCCAUCUCCUGCUUCUUCCGCCGCCGCCGCCGCCGUUAAUUCCAAAUACUUUCUCGAUCAGGUCCCUGUUCCCCUGGGGCCUUUCUCCAUUUUCGAACAUUGAGAAAUGGAUUCUUAGUUUCGAUGACACUCAGAAUCCGUUUUUUCUUCUUUCUUUUUUUUACCCUUUUUUGCGCCGACCGGGUAGGAUUCAUUCUGGCCGGAAAUGGCGUUGUAGAUAUCAAGUCGACGGCGCAGUGGCUGCCGCCGGUUAAGAGAUGGGUUUUCCUUUUUUUUUUUUUUUGUUUUUUUUUUUAUGGGGUUAUUUAGUGAAUUUCCGAAUGCGUUUGUAAGGUGUGAGUUCGAUGUUUAUGAAAUGAAAAACUGCGCUGCUCUUCUAAUAAAUAACUUUUCAGCUAAUCUUCCAAAUAAUAAUUAAAUACAAAAUCUGAACUUUAUUUAUAUAUAUAAUAAACAAUGUUUACCAAUUUUUUACAAAUAUGGAUGAAUUUUAGAAGUUUUUUUUAAAGAAAAAAAAUUGAUUUUUCCUUUUCUAGAUUCUAUCCAUUCUCAAUUUAAAAUUGAUUGGGAUUUGAGAGAUUACUUUCCCUAUUAUUUUAUUUUGGUUCAUACAUUUUUUUUAGGGUUUUGAUACCUUUAAUAAAUAAAUUUAGUUAAUUAAUUUCUUAAAGAGUUAAUAAAAUUUUAACAAUACUAGUCAUAAUAAGUUUUUUUUUUUUUUUUUUAAUUUCAGUUAAAGUUUUACCUAUCAAAAUGAAACGUUUGCGACCCUAAAUAAGAUUUUGACCAAAAUAUUUUAAUAUUUUUUAAUGUGGGUAGCGAGAAUGAGACCAUAAAAGAUGGAUAUGCACAUGUGAUACAAAGUAUUAUCCAAAAACUUAAAUGGGUUUUAAGGAAUAUUUGAAAAUGAGUAUUAAAAUAAAAAGAAUCUCAAACCUUUAUAGUGAAAUGAAAUAAAAUAAAAUUUUAUACUUAGUAAUUUUAAUUAUCCAUAGAUUAAAUGUUGCUUGAAUCAUUCUCAGUUGCCUUCAGACACGUUCAUUUCCUUCUUUGUUAGUUGGUUUAUGCAUGCUCAAAUGAACACCAACCAUAAUAGAAGGAAACUAUGGCUAAUAGAGUAGAUAAUUAGCAAUGUUUGCAUGCAAAAGGAGUGAUUCUAACUAGGAAUGUGAAACUUUUGCAAAUUCCAUGUCUUACAUACCACUAGGGGAUUGGUUGUUCUUAAUUAGGCAAAUCUCACCCCUAAACAUAUAAGGGAAUAGGGAAGGCGACAACUUAUUGUUUCAAAAGUUUGUAUAAAGAAAACAUGUCCACCUAUUUCAUUCGACAUCUAAAGGAGGGGUUCGCCCUCAAUCAAUUUGAUAACAAGAAGAUGAGUUGAUUUGCUUUUAUCUAGGAAAAAAAAAACUUCAAUCAAUCACUAGCCUAGUUACAAGCUAUGUGGCCUACAAUUGGAUCUUUACUUUUUAAAUCUAAAAUAUAGAAGGAGCUUUAAGUUGAUUAUUACAGGGGCAUUUGGGGUUAGGGUUAGUACUAUGGGCUUAGAUUAGCCCAAUCCUAACCCCUGUUUGGGGUCAGUAUUAAGGAAACUAGGUUUCCUUUACACAGUUUCAUUCUCCCCUCAAACAAUUGAAACCCUCCCUUGCCUUAUCGUCUUCAACCUAUGUUCGUGCGAAAUCCUUUUCCUUUUCAUUCUGUGUUCUCCUUCAUCAAAUCCCCUCAAAUCUCCCUCUUUGGUUGUGUGUUCUCCCUCAACAAAUCGUUGAAUCGUUGUUUCGUUGUGUGUUCCCCCUCAAUCCGUCUUCAUGCAAAAACGGUUUCGUUGUCUGUUCCCCUCAUCAAAUCCAUUUCCAUGAAGUUCUCCGUCGUCAAACAUGUUUUUUUUCUCCUUAUUUCGUUCUCUGUUCUUCCUCAAUCCAUCUUCAUGCAAAUUGAUUUUUCGUUGCGUUUCACGGAUUGGGGAGGAUUUUAUGUAGCCGAAUCUCUAUUUACAUCUCUCUCAUCCGUCUUUCUCACUUUCGAAAGGCUGUGUCGUGUUUGUUGAAGUCGACCCUUCCACGGCGUUGGCUCCAAACACGAAAACCUUUUGGAAUAUGUAUGGUUUUGCCUCCAAACAUGUUUUGUUGAAGGAGAUCCUAAAAUAAAAUCCUUGUCACUCGAGGUUCCAUUGUUGCGGCUGGGUGUUUUGCUUGCCAUUUCGUCAUUCCAGAUCUGAUAAGAGAGAAACUUUCACUGUUGUCUGCCAAUGGUUGUCGAUCGAGCUUGGUAGGGAGGAAAGUUUACAUACUUUGUAAUGGAUCAACAAACACUUCUUGUCGUCUUAACUGCGUUCACGCUGGCCCAACGUAAGAUGUUACUAACGUUGGAGCUACUAAUGAACGAUAAUUGGCGUAUCACGCAUACACCGUCCGAUACACGCCAUAGAAUAAGGCAGCUUGCGUACUUUUGCACGAUACACGAGUCAGAUCUUGUGUGCCACCAAAGCACGCACAUGAACAGAUGAACAUUCGCAAUUUUAUGCCAUUUACUUCGGACUGUUUCUGGUCUUCCGUCGACCGAGAUUGUUGAUGUUGAGGAAAUAGUAGCAAUGUUCUUGUACGUCCUUGCCCAUGAUGUGAAGAAUCGCGUCAUUCAAAGGAAAUUUGUACAGUCUGGUGAGACAGUAUCUCGACAUUUUAACUUCGUAUUGUUGGCUGUUGUUUGACUAUACGAGGGGUUGAUAAAGAGACCUGUUCCGGUAACAAACAACUACAAUGAUCAACGUUGGAAGUGUUUCGAGAAUUGUCUUGGCGCAUUAGACGAAACGUACAUAAAGGUAAACAUCCUUGCAGCAGAUCGACUUACAUUCAAAACGUGUAAUGGGAAAUUGCCACAAACGUACUGAGCGUGUGCGACACGAAAGGGGAUUUUGUUUAUGUCCUCAUCGGUUGGAAAUGAUCCGCGGCAGACUCAUGGAUUCUACAAGAUGCACUUGCACGAGAAAAUCAACUAUAAGUGUCAGAGGGUAUUUCUUAUUUAUAAUAAAACAACACCGAUUUGUAUUUACAUAUUCAAAAUGCAUAAACGAAUGGUUUUAAUAACAUGAUAUUAUUAUCUGUGCGAUGCGAGUUAUCCAAACACGGAGGGAUUUCUCACCCUUUACAGAGGCCAACGGUACCACUUGCAAGAGUGGCGUGGUGUUGAAAAUGCGCCAACAAAUGCAAAGGAGUACUUUAACAUGAAGCACUCUUCGGCAAGAAAUGUCAUUGAGCACCCCUUCAGUGUUCUUAAGGGUUGUUGGGCCAUUCUUCGUGGAAAGUUGUACUAUCCCCUACAAGUCUAGUGUUGCACCACACUAGCAUGUUGCUUGCUUCACAAUUUGAUAAAUAGAGAAAUGACAUAUUACGACGACGUGGACGAAGGGGACUCCAUGUACGCGACCACCAUGGCCUAAGAAGACAUUCACUACAUUAAGACGACAAACGAGUGGUCUCGGUGGCGCGACGAAAUAGCUGAAUCGAUGUUCACAGACUGGCAGUUGCAUAACGCUUAGAUAAAAAAAUUUUACUUUACAAGUCAUCGGUUGUAUGCGAAUUUCUAUGACCUGUAAAAUUAUGUCAACCUCAAGUCGUGCCUCGAGACAUGUCCGGGCAAAGGAGGAGGAGGACACUCUUGUCGAGUGUUUAAUGGAGUUCGUGUAAAUGGGGGGAUGGAAAUCUGAUAACGGUUACCUAGCGCAGUUGGUACGGAUGAUGCCAGAGAAAUUACCUGGAUGUCGUGUCUGCGCAACGACUGUAAUUGACUGUAGAAUAAAGACACUGAAGCGGACAUUCCAGGCCAUCGCCGAAAUGCCGGGCCAAAGUGUAGUGGCUUUGGGUGGAACGAUGAAAAGAAAUGUAUCAUUGCGGAGAAAGAAUUAUUUGAUAAUUGGGUUAGGUUGCAUCCUGCAGCGAAGGGACUCCUGAACAAACCAUUUUCGUAUUACGACAAACUUUCAUAUGUGUUCACUCAUGAUAGGGCGACUGGUCACUUUGCGAAGACAUUCAUGGACGGGGUCUAACGAGCCUGGUGGGUGAGGGGUUUGACGUGCCGAAUGGGAAUGAGGAGUUCACACUCGUUUAUAGCCAAGGGAUUGACAUGUCGCAGGACGAUGUGAGCGCAUUACGAUCUUUUCGUACUUCAGAGGGUAGGGUCGGAUCAAGCGGAUCCAAAAGGAAGAGGGGAAGUCAGAGAGAGGUGGAUGUUGAUAAUGUUUAUUACGCGCUUGAACAAAACGAACAACCAACUAAGGAUGAUUGCGGAGUGGCCUACACGCGCCCUUACAACCAUGUGCGUACGAAAUUCUUUCGCAUAUUGCAUGAGAUGCCGGAAUUAACGAGUUUGGAUAGGACGUUGUUGUAAAGGCAUCUUCUAUCUCGUAUAGACAACCUGCGUGGUUUUGUACUCAUGCCUAAGGAUGAGAGGGAGGGCUUUUGGAGAGUUCUCCUACGUGACAUGAUGAGAUGGUUUAUGUUUGGUACCGACCUUUCUAUUGUUGUUUGCUUACUUCACAUUUUCAUUUUUAUGAUUGGUUUACUUUUGCUAUUGUAGACAACUAUUUUUUUUCCUUAUGUACUUCCGUUGUUUAUGCAUAUUUCUUUUU
Long non-coding RNA from Cucumis melo (muskmelon), 4920 nucleotides. RefSeq lists it as uncharacterized. Lineage: Eukaryota; Viridiplantae; Streptophyta; Magnoliopsida; Cucurbitales; Cucurbitaceae. The record is from RefSeq and is a predicted model, not a curated record. The transcript has 5 exons.